RNAcentral lists this ribosomal RNA (253 nucleotides) under uncultured bacterium. Its description in RNAcentral is "partial 16S ribosomal RNA". It matches the Rfam family "Bacterial small subunit ribosomal RNA", at positions 524 to 776 of the family's 1533-position model. The record is from RNAcentral.
UACGUAGGGUGCAAGCGUUAAUCGGAAUUACUGGGCGUAAAGCGUGCGCAGGCGGUGAUGUAAGACAGAUGUGAAAUCCCCGGGCUUAACCUGGGAAUGGCAUUUGGGACUGCAAGGCUGGAGUUUGGCAGAGGAGACUGGAAUUCCCGGUGUAGCAGUGAAAUGCGUAGAUAUCGGGAGGAAUACCGAUGGCGAAGGCAGGUCUCUGGGCUAUAACUGACGCUCAUGCACGAAAGCGUGGGGAGCAAACAGG